UCCCCGAUAGCUAAGUUGGUAGAGCCAAUGACUGUUAAUCAUUGGGCCCUUGGUUCGAGCCCAAGUUGGGGAGCCA
This 76-nucleotide transfer RNA is filed under the name Pseudomonadales bacterium. RNAcentral describes it as "tRNA-Asn". It matches the Rfam family "tRNA". From Rfam's summary of the family: Transfer RNA (tRNA) molecules are approximately 80 nucleotides in length. Their secondary structure includes four short double-helical elements and three loops (D, anti-codon, and T loops). Lineage: Bacteria; Pseudomonadati; Pseudomonadota; Gammaproteobacteria; Pseudomonadales. RNAcentral also lists the same sequence under 1 other name. The record is from RNAcentral.